RNAcentral lists this microRNA precursor (122 nucleotides) under Podarcis lilfordi (Lilford's wall lizard). Lineage: Eukaryota; Metazoa; Chordata; Lepidosauria; Squamata; Lacertidae. The record is from RNAcentral.
GGAGGGAGAGAAGCAGAACCUGCUUGCUUUAAAGGAGCCUACUGGACAGGAGCCACUUACACUCGUGUAAGCAGCUCCUGUCCGGUAGGCUCCUUUAAAGCAAGCAGGCUCUCUGUCCCUCC